GAAGCGGAAAAGAGCUGAAAGUCUUGGUUUGGCCUUGGGUUCCGCUGUAGGGGAGGUCCCGUGCGAAAGAAUGAGGAGAUCCUGGGGCCUUACCUACUAGCGGAAUCGGGUGAAGAGACGCCUGCCAGUGCGGGAGGUAGGAAGCUCGAUCCCCAAAGAAAAGAGUGAGUGGGCAGGCAGCUGCGAGACAGAACCGGAGUGUGCAGGGUCCCUAGAGGCCGGUUCCUGGUCGGUGCUGCUGUCCUGGAAGCCAUGGUACAGGCAGAGCUCAGGGCGAUCCCCAGGUGAGGGCAGCGGCUCUGCCUGGGAUUCCACCGCAGUACAACCGGGUAGAUGCGGGGUGGGGAAGAAAGGAUGUUGCCUGCACUGCUCGCCAAUAGCACCCUGAGCGGCUACAUUUGCAGGAGCAGCAGCAGAAGAAGACACAGCGCCGGUCCAGGAGGCGGCUCGAGCUGUUCGUAAAGUCGCCCGACAGCUUUUUCUCCGUAGUAUGCGAGUUGACAAAACAGCCAGAGAACAGGGUUCCCCAUUACAAUCUUUUCGAGAUCUUUUCCCUUGCUAACCGGAUCUGAUUUGUGCGAAAACAUGCCUUGCACUUGUACCUGGAGGAACUGGAGACAGUGGAUUCGACCUUUAGUAGCGGUCAUCUACCUGGUGUCAAUAGUGGUUGCGGUUCCCCUAUGCGUGUGGGAAUUACAGAAACUGGAGGUUGGAAUACACACCAAGGCUUGGUUUAUUGCUGGAAUCUUUUUGCUGUUGACUAUUCCUAUAUCACUGUGGGUGAUAUUGCAACACUUAGUGCAUUAUACACAACCUGAACUACAAAAACCAAUAAUAAGGAUUCUUUGGAUGGUACCUAUUUACAGUUUAGAUAGUUGGAUAGCUUUGAAAUAUCCCGGAAUUGCAAUAUAUGUGGAUACCUGCAGAGAAUGCUAUGAAGCUUAUGUAAUUUACAACUUUAUGGGAUUCCUUACCAAUUAUCUAACUAACCGGUAUCCAAAUCUGGUAUUAAUCCUUGAAGCCAAAGAUCAACAGAAACAUUUCCCUCCUUUAUGUUGCUGUCCACCAUGGGCUAUGGGAGAAGUAUUGCUGUUUAGGUGCAAACUAGGUGUAUUACAGUACACAGUUGUCAGACCUUUCACCACCAUCGUUGCUUUAAUCUGUGAGCUGCUUGGUAUAUAUGACGAAGGGAACUUUAGCUUUUCAAAUGCUUGGACUUACUUAGUUAUAAUAAACAACAUGUCACAGUUGUUUGCCAUGUAUUGUCUCCUGCUCUUUUAUAAAGAACUAAAAGAA
RNAcentral lists this long non-coding RNA (1296 nucleotides) under Pan troglodytes (chimpanzee). RNAcentral's name for it is "long non-coding RNA NONPTRT012740". The record is from RNAcentral. Lineage: Eukaryota; Metazoa; Chordata; Mammalia; Primates; Hominidae.